This 312-nucleotide ribosomal RNA is filed under the name uncultured bacterium. RNAcentral's name for it is "bacterial SSU rRNA". It matches the Rfam family "Bacterial small subunit ribosomal RNA", at positions 28 to 334 of the family's 1533-position model. The record is from RNAcentral.
GACGAACGCUGGCGGCGCGCCUAACACAUGCAAGUCGAACGAGCGAGAGAGAGCUUGCUUUUUCAAACUUAGUGGCGAACGGGUGAGUAACGCGUGAGUAACCUGCCCUGGAGUGGGGGACAACAGUUGGAAACGACUGCUAAUACCGCAUAAGCCCACAGCUCGGCAUCGAGCAGAGGGAAAAGGAGUGAUCCGCUUUGAGAUGGCCUCGCGCCCGAUUAGCUGGUUGGUGAGGUAACGGCCCACCAAGGCGACGAUCGGUAGCCGGACUGAGAGGUUGAACGGCCACAUUGGGACUGAGACACGGCCCAA